RNAcentral lists this ribosomal RNA (495 nucleotides) under uncultured bacterium. Its description in RNAcentral is "partial 16S ribosomal RNA". It matches the Rfam family "Bacterial small subunit ribosomal RNA", at positions 28 to 507 of the family's 1533-position model. The record is from RNAcentral.
GAUGAACGCUGGCGGCGUGCCUAAUACAUGCAAGUCGAGCGAACAGACGAGGAGCUUGCUCCUCUGACGUUAGCGGCGGACGGGUGAGUAACACGUGGAUAACCUACCUAUAAGACUGGGAUAACUUCGGGAAACCGGAGCUAAUACCGGAUAAUAUAUUGAACCGCAUGGUUCAAUAGUGAAAGACGGUUUUGCUGUCACUUAUAGAUGGAUCCGCGCCGCAUUAGCUAGUUGGUAAGGUAACGGCUUACCAAGGCAACGAUGCGUAGCCGACCUGAGAGGGUGAUCGGCCACACUGAAACUGAGACACGGCCCAGACUCCUACGGGGGGCAGCAGUAGGGAAUCUGCCGCAAUGGGCGAAAGCCUGACGGAGCAACGCCGCGUGAGUGAUGAAGGUCUUCGGAUCGUAAAACUCUGUUAUUAGGGAAGAACAAGUGUAAGUAACUAUGCACGUCUUGACGGUACCUAAUCAGAAAGCCACGGCUAACUACGUG